ACGAACGCUGGCUGCGUGCUUAACACAUGCAAGUCGAACGCUGAAGCUCUGGUGCUUGCACCGGGGUGGAUGAGUGGCGAACGGGUGAGUAACAUGUGAGUAACCUGCCCCCGACUUCGGGAUAAGCCUGGGAAACUGGGUCUAAUACCGGAUAUGACCAUGACUCGCAUGAGUGAUGGUGGAAAGUUUUUUCGGUUGGGGAUGGGCUCGCGGCCUAUCAGUUUGUUGGUGAGGUAAUGGCUCACCAAGACGACGACGGGUAGCCGGCCUGAGAGGGCGACCGGCCACACUGGGACUGAGACACGGACCAGACUCCUACGGGAGGCAGCAGUGGGGAAUAUUGCACAAUGGGGGAAACCCUGAUGCAGCGACGCAGCGUGCGGGAUGACGGCCUUCGGGUUGUAAACCGCUUUCAGCAGGGAAGAAGCCUUUCGGGGUGACGGUACCUGCAGAAGAAGUACCGGCUAACUACGU
Molecule: ribosomal RNA, 474 nt
Filed under: uncultured bacterium
Lineage: Bacteria
Description: bacterial SSU rRNA
Rfam family: Bacterial small subunit ribosomal RNA
Source: RNAcentral